RNAcentral lists this ribosomal RNA (420 nucleotides) under uncultured bacterium. RNAcentral's name for it is "bacterial SSU rRNA". It matches the Rfam family "Bacterial small subunit ribosomal RNA", at positions 360 to 773 of the family's 1533-position model. The record is from RNAcentral.
AAUUUUUCUCAAUGGGCGAAAGCCUGAAGGAGCGACGCCGCGUGAGGGAUGAAGGGCUUCGGCCUGUAAACCUCUGUCAUUUGCGAACAAACCUUACUCAUGAACAGUGAGUGAGCUGAUAGUAGCGAAAGAGGAAGGGACGGCUAACUCUGUGCCAGCAGCCGCGGUAAUACAGAGGUCCCAAGCGUUGUUCGGAUUCACUGGGCGUAAAGGGUGCGCAGGUGGCCGCGCAAGUUCGAUGUGAAAGCCCCGGGCUUAACCCGGGAAUGGCAUUGAAAACUGCGCGGCUGGAGGAUCGGAGGGGGGACUGGAAUUCUCGGUGUAGCAGUGAAAUGCGUAGAUAUCGAGAGGAACACCAGUGGCGAAGGCGAGUCCCUGGACAACACCUGACACUGAGGCACGAAAGCUAGGGGAGCAAAC